Long non-coding RNA from Myodes glareolus (Bank vole), 694 nucleotides. RefSeq lists it as uncharacterized. NCBI's taxonomy places the organism in Eukaryota, Metazoa, Chordata, Mammalia, Rodentia, Cricetidae. The record is from RefSeq and is a predicted model, not a curated record.
CAAAGGGCAAUGGAAGGAAAUUUGCUGGACUUUGAACCUCUCUACUGACGCAUGAAAGAGGAGGAUGACUUCCAUAGACCCGCUGAAGAUCAAAGUGUUGAAUAUGCAGGAGACACUCCGCAAACAUUUGCAAGGGCGAAGAAGAAAUGGCAAGGGACAGAAACCUAGAAUAAGUAACGCUGUCUGUGCUGGGUAUGAAACCCAGAGCCUCACACAUGCUGAGCAAGCACUCUACCAUUGAACUACAUCUCACCUCCAACGCUAACAUAGCUACUUUGUCCAGUGACUUCUCUGGAUAUAGCGACAGAGACCACCCAACUUAGAAAAUAAGCCCAAGAUGGCUCCCCGCCCCCCCCCCGAAGGAUGGGAUAUACAUAAAACAGAACCAUUGUGUAAGAGGCUUGGAGCUCCAGCAGCAAGAAGAAAUCUGUUUUCAGGCCACUGGACUAAACUUCAAAGGAAAAGAUGGCCACCCUUGGAAAUACCAAGAGGAGGAUGAUAUCAUUGGGGUAACAGCUUGAGAACUUUAGCCACAACCCAAGCAUCAUGUGAUCUGCUUGCUCGUACUGACUUUAGAUUGUGGGGGUUUGACGACCCAGGAGAAAUCCCUUAAGGGAAAAAAUAGCCAGCAGAGCAUUUCUUAAUCUCCCGAACAAACUGAUGCUUCCCUUUCUCAGAGCUGGGAACGUAGGCU